RNAcentral lists this ribosomal RNA (229 nucleotides) under uncultured bacterium. Its description in RNAcentral is "partial 16S ribosomal RNA". It matches the Rfam family "Bacterial small subunit ribosomal RNA", at positions 15 to 240 of the family's 1533-position model. The record is from RNAcentral.
GAUCAUGGCUCAGGAUGAACGCUAGCGACAGGCUUAACACAUGCAAGUCGAGGGGCAGCGGGGGUAGCGAUACCCGCCGGCGACCGGCGCACGGGUGAGUAACACGUAUGCAACUUGCCUAUCAGAGGGGGAUAACCCGGCGAAAGUCGGACUAAUACCGCAUGAAGCAGGGAUCCCGCAUGGGAAUAUUUGCUAAAGAUUCAUCGCUGAUAGAUAGGCAUGCGUUCCA